This 243-nucleotide long non-coding RNA is filed under the name Marmota marmota marmota (Alpine marmot). RNAcentral's name for it is "lncRNA (ENSMMMG00000011764.1)". The record is from RNAcentral. Lineage: Eukaryota; Metazoa; Chordata; Mammalia; Rodentia; Sciuridae.
CGGAAGUACUCGGAGCGCCCGGGAGGGAGGCUCUAGUUCACAGAAGCUGUUGUCAUCCGACACUGAGGUUUUGGGACUUGGCGGAGAAGGCAGAGUGUACAACUGAGACCACUGCUAACCAAUUUAAGACUCCAGAUUAUCAGCACCCUGGCUUCCUCAGUCAGUCUAAGAAGCCCCAGCCUGAGACCUCUGGAGGAGGCCUCCAUCCUUUGUCCAGAGCAGAACAGGAUGGCCAUUUCCCAG